GGGGAUAUAGCUCAUUUGGUAGAGCGUUUGCCUUGCAUGCAUAAGUCCCUGAGUUCAAUUCCCAACACCA
RNAcentral lists this transfer RNA (70 nucleotides) under Ictidomys tridecemlineatus (thirteen-lined ground squirrel). RNAcentral describes it as "Spermophilus tridecemlineatus (thirteen-lined ground squirrel) tRNA". It matches the Rfam family "tRNA". From Rfam's summary of the family: Transfer RNA (tRNA) molecules are approximately 80 nucleotides in length. Their secondary structure includes four short double-helical elements and three loops (D, anti-codon, and T loops). Lineage: Eukaryota; Metazoa; Chordata; Mammalia; Rodentia; Sciuridae. The record is from Rfam by way of RNAcentral.